GUAGGUGGCAAGCGUUGUCCGGAAUUAUUGGGGCGUAAAGCGCGCGCAGGCGGUUCUUUUAAGUCUGAUGUGAAAGCCCACGGGCUCAACCGUGGAGGGUCAUUGGAAACUGGAGAACUUGAGUACAGAAGAGGAAAGCGGAAUUCCACGUGUAGCGGUGAAAUGCGUAGAGAUGUGGAGGAACACCAGUGGCGAAGGCGGCUUUCUGGUCUGUAACUGACGCUGAGGCGCGAAAGCGUGGGGAGCAAACAGGAUUAGAUACCCUGGUAGUCCACGCCGUAAACGAUGAGUGCUAAGUGUUAGGGGGUUUCCGCCCCUUAGUGCUGCAGCUAACGCAUUAAGCACUCCGCCUGGGGAGUACGGCCGCAAAGGCUG
This 375-nucleotide ribosomal RNA is filed under the name uncultured organism. RNAcentral's name for it is "partial 16S ribosomal RNA". It matches the Rfam family "Bacterial small subunit ribosomal RNA", at positions 527 to 896 of the family's 1533-position model. The record is from RNAcentral.